This 484-nucleotide ribosomal RNA is filed under the name uncultured bacterium. RNAcentral's name for it is "partial 16S ribosomal RNA". It matches the Rfam family "Bacterial small subunit ribosomal RNA", at positions 30 to 507 of the family's 1533-position model. The record is from RNAcentral.
AUUGAACGCUGGCGGCAGGCCUAACACAUGCAAGUCGAGCGGAUGAAGGGAGCUUGCUCCUGGCUUCAGCGGCGGACGGGUGAGUAAUGCAUAGGAAUCUGCCUGGUAGUGGGGGAUAACGUCCGGAAACGGGCGCUAAUACCGCAUACGUCCUGAGGGAGAAAGUGGGGGAUCUUCGGACCUCACGCUAUCAGAUGAGCCUAGGUCGGAUUAGCUAGUUGGUGGGGUAAAGGCCUACCAAGGCGACGAUCCGUAACUGGUCUGAGAGGAUGAUCAGUCACACUGGAACUGAGACACGGUCCAGACUCCUACGGGAGGCAGCAGUGGGGAAUAUUGGACAAUGGGCGAAAGCCUGAUCCAGCCAUGCCGCGUGUGUGAAGAAGGUCUUCGGAUUGUAAAGCACUGUAAGUUGGGAGGAAGGGCAGUAAGUUAAUACCUUGCUGUUUUGACGUUACCAACAGAAUAAGCACCGGCUAACUUCGUG